UACGUAGGGGGCACGCGUUGUCCGGAUUUAUUGGGCGUAAAGAGCGUGUAGGCGGUUAGGUAGGUCCGUUGUGAAAACUCGAGGCUCAACCUCGAGACGCCGAUGGAAACCAUCUAACUAGAGUCCGGAAGAGGAGAGUGGAAUUCCUGGUGUAGCGGUGAAAUGCGCAGAUAUCAGGAAGAACACCCGUGGCUAAGGCGGCUCUCUAGUACGGUACUGACGCUGAGACGCGAAAGCGUGGGGAGCGAACAGG
RNAcentral lists this ribosomal RNA (253 nucleotides) under uncultured bacterium. RNAcentral's name for it is "partial 16S ribosomal RNA". It matches the Rfam family "Bacterial small subunit ribosomal RNA", at positions 524 to 776 of the family's 1533-position model. The record is from RNAcentral.